GGGGUGUGCUCAGAGCAGGAGGCCUAAGGGAUGGUUCCUUUGUUUACACACACCUGACAAGAAUAUGGCAUUAUUUUGACAAGGGGCAAAAACUUGUGGUCUCCCUAUGAACAAAUGCCUAAGUGU
This is a small nucleolar RNA of Cynocephalus volans (Philippine flying lemur), 126 nucleotides long. RefSeq annotates it as small nucleolar RNA SNORA11. The record is from RefSeq and is a predicted model, not a curated record. NCBI's taxonomy places the organism in Eukaryota, Metazoa, Chordata, Mammalia, Dermoptera, Cynocephalidae. The transcript has a single exon.